This 468-nucleotide ribosomal RNA is filed under the name uncultured bacterium. Its description in RNAcentral is "partial 16S ribosomal RNA". It matches the Rfam family "Bacterial small subunit ribosomal RNA", at positions 28 to 507 of the family's 1533-position model. The record is from RNAcentral.
GACGAACGCUGGCGGCGUGCUUAACACAUGCAAGUCGAACGGAAAGGCCCUGCUUUUGUGGGGUGCUCGAGUGGCGAACGGGUGAGUAACACGUGAGUAACCUGCCCUUGACUUUGGGAUAACUUCAGGAAACUGGGGCUAAUACCGGAUAGGAGCUCCUGCUGCAUGGUGGGGGUUGGAAAGUUUCGGCGGUUGGGGAUGGACUCGCGGCUUAUCAGCUUGUUGGUGGGGUAGUGGCUUACCAAGGCUUUGACGGGUAGCCGGCCUGAGAGGGUGACCGGCGACAUUGGGACUGAGAUACGGCCCAGACUCCUACGGGAGGCAGCAGUGGGGAAUAUUGCACAAUGGGCGGAAGCCUGAUGCAGCAACGCCGCGUGCGGGAUGACGGCCUUCGGGUUGUAAACCGCUUUCGCCUGUGACGAAGCGUGAGUGACGGUAAUGGGUAAAGAAGCACCAGCUAACUACGUG